AGAACGAACGCUGGCGGCAUGCCUAAUACAUGCAAGUCGAACGAACUCUUCGGAGUUAGUGGCGCACGGGUGCGUAACGCGUGGGAAUCUGCCCCUUGGUUCGGAAUAACAGUUGGAAACGACUGCUAAUACCGGAUGAUGACGAAAGUCCAAAGAUUUAUCGCCAAGGGAUGAGCCCGCGUAGGAUUAGCUAGUUGGUGAGGUAAAGGCUCACCAAGGCAACGAUCCUUAGCUGGUCUGAGAGGAUGAUCAGCCACACUGGGACUGAGACACGGCCCAGACUCCUACGGGAGGCAGCAGUAGGGAAUAUCGGACAAUGGG
This 321-nucleotide ribosomal RNA is filed under the name uncultured soil bacterium. RNAcentral describes it as "bacterial SSU rRNA". It matches the Rfam family "Bacterial small subunit ribosomal RNA", at positions 26 to 375 of the family's 1533-position model. The record is from RNAcentral.